RNAcentral lists this ribosomal RNA (370 nucleotides) under uncultured bacterium. RNAcentral's name for it is "bacterial SSU rRNA". It matches the Rfam family "Bacterial small subunit ribosomal RNA", at positions 527 to 896 of the family's 1533-position model. The record is from RNAcentral.
GUAGGUCCCGAGCGUUAUCCGGAUUUAUUGGGCGUAAAGCGAGCGCAGGCGGUUAGAUAAGUCUGAAGUUAAAGGCUGUGGCUUAACCAUAGUACGCUUUGGAAACUGUUUAACUUGAGUGCAGAAGGGGAGAGUGGAAUUCCAUGUGUAGCGGUGAAAUGCGUAGAUAUAUGGAGGAACACCGGUGGCGAAAGCGGCUCUCUGGCUUGUAACUGACGCUGAGGCUCGAAAGCGUGGGGAGCAAACAGGAUUAGAUACCCUGGUAGUCCACGCCGUAAACGAUGAGUGCUAGGUGUUGGGCCCUUUCCGGGGCUUAGUGCCGCAGCUAACGCAUUAAGCACUCCGCCUGGGGAGUACGACCGCAAGGUUG